AUGUCUUGGGGGGGGUGGCUCACAGGGAGUAGGGCUACGCCAGGUAGGAGACCUGCGCAAACUCCCUGUGCUUACCGGGGGGCUAGAGAGACCGGGCAGGCACCGUGUUAUGCAGUGGUGCGCACGGUGUCCCCAGUGCGGGUGCAUAGCCCGGUGCAGUACAUUCCAGCUCCGCGUAUCGGCCGGGCUAGAGUGGGCAUCGAGCCAGGUAAGGUUGGGCAGGCUCGGUGCUCAAGAGCUCCAGUGCGCCUGCACGGUCCGGUCUAUCCAGUACCACCUUCACGCACCAGCCCUCCGGUGGCAGCUCCCCGCACCAGGCUUCCUGUGCGUGUUCUCGGCCCAGUACCACCAGUGCCAGCACCACGCAUCAGGCCUACAGUGCACCUCGCCUCUCCAGCGCUGCCGGAGUCUCCCGCCUAUCUAGCGCUGCCAGAUCCUUCCUCAUCUCCAGCGCUGCCGGAGUCUCCCGCCUGUUCAGCGCAGCCAGAGCUGCCAGCCUGCAUGGAGCAGCCAGAGCUGUCGGUCUGCAUGGAGCAGCCAGAGCUGCCAGUCUGCAUGGAGCAGCCAGAGCUGCCAGUCUGCAUGGAGCAGCCAGAGCUGCCAGUCUGCAUGAAGCAGCCAGAGCUGCCAGUCUGCAUGGAGCAGCCAGAGCUGCCAGUCUGCAAGGAGCUUCCAGUCUGCAGGGAGCUGCCAGUCUGCAAGGAGCUGCCAGUCUGCAAGGAGCUGCCAGUCUGCAAGGAGCUGCCAGUCUACAAGGAGCUGCCAGUCUGCACGGAGCUGUCAGUGUGCAAGGAGCUGCCAGUCUGUAAGGAGCUGCCAGUCUGCAAGGAGCUGCCAGUCUGUAAGAAGCCGCCAGAGCUGUCAGCCUACAUGGAGCAGCCAGAGCCGCCAGUCAGCGUGGAGCAGCCAGAGCCGCCAGUCAGCAUGGAGCAGCCAGAGCCGUCAGUCUGCCAAGAUCCGCCAGUCAGCCAGACUCUUCCAGAUCUGCCAGUCAGCCAGACUCUUCCAGAUCUGCCAGUCAGCCAGACUCUUCCAGAUCCGCCAGUCAGCCAGACUCUUCCAGAUCCGCCAGUCAGCCAGACUCUUCCAGAUCCGCCAGUCAGCCAGACUCUUCCAGAUCCGCCAGUCAGCCAGACUCUUCCAGAUCCGCCAGUCAGCCAGACUCUUCCAGAUCCGCCAGUCAGCCAGACUCUUCCAGAUCCGCCAGUCAGCCAGACUCUUCCAGAUCCGCCAGUCAGCCAGACUCUUCCAGAUCCGCCAGUCAACCAGACUCUUCCAGAUCCGCCAGUCAGCCAGGAUCUGCCAGAACCGCCAGCCAGCCAGGAUCUGCCGGAUCCAACUACCUGCCUGAGCUUCCUCUCAGUGCUGAGCUUCCUCUCAGUGCUGAGCUUCCUCUCAGUGCUGAGCUUCCUCUCAGUCCCGAGGUUCCCCUCAGUCCCGAGGUUCCCCUCAGUCCCGAGCUGCCCCUCAGUCCCGAUCUGCUCCUCAGUCCAGUGGGGUUCUGGGUGA
Molecule: long non-coding RNA, 1509 nt
Filed under: Oncorhynchus kisutch (coho salmon)
Lineage: Eukaryota; Metazoa; Chordata; Actinopteri; Salmoniformes; Salmonidae
Description: lncRNA (ENSOKIG00005002771.1)
Source: RNAcentral